RNAcentral lists this ribosomal RNA (265 nucleotides) under uncultured archaeon. RNAcentral's name for it is "partial 16S ribosomal RNA". It matches the Rfam family "Archaeal small subunit ribosomal RNA", at positions 714 to 982 of the family's 1478-position model. The record is from RNAcentral.
AGACGUCUACAUUAGAUACCCCCGUAGUCCCAGCCGUAAACUAUGCGCGUUAGGUGUACCGGUGACCACGAGUCACCGAGGUGCCGAAGGGAAACCGUGAAACGUGCCGCCUGGGAAAGUACGGUCGCAAGGCUGAAACUUAAAGGAAUUGGCGGGGAGCACCACAACGGGUGGAGCCUGCGGUUUAAUUGGACUCAACGCCGGGAAGCUCACCGGAUAAGACAGCGGAAUGAUUGCCGGGCUGAAGACUCUGCAUGACUAGCUG